CCACGGGUGAGUAACACGUAUGCAACCUGCCUGCCACAGCCGGAUAAUCGGGAGAAAUUCCGUCUAAUACGGCAUAAUGCAUCGACGGGACAUCCUGUUGGUGCCAAAGGUUAAUUCCGGUGGCGGAUGGGCAUGCGUCGCAUUAGUUAGUUGGCGGUGUAACGGACCACCAAGACGACGAUGCGUAGGGGUUCUGAGAGGAAGGUCCCCCACACUGGUACUGAGACACGGACCAGACUCCUACGGGAGGCAGCAG
This 256-nucleotide ribosomal RNA is filed under the name uncultured bacterium. RNAcentral describes it as "partial 16S ribosomal RNA". It matches the Rfam family "Bacterial small subunit ribosomal RNA", at positions 100 to 354 of the family's 1533-position model. The record is from RNAcentral.